Molecule: long non-coding RNA, 127 nt
Organism: Octopus sinensis (East Asian common octopus)
Lineage: Eukaryota; Metazoa; Mollusca; Cephalopoda; Octopoda; Octopodidae
Exons: 3
Source: RefSeq, a predicted model, not a curated record
AUUGGUGUUGGUCGGAUGCUUAACCUUUUAGCAUUCAAACCGGCCAUAUCCGGCCUAAAUAUUUUAGCUCUUUUAUGUUCAAAACCAGUCAGAUCCAGUCUCUUACACCUAUCCUUCAAUAUCAUUC